Molecule: ribosomal RNA, 255 nt
Filed under: uncultured bacterium
Lineage: Bacteria
Description: partial 16S ribosomal RNA
Rfam family: Bacterial small subunit ribosomal RNA
Source: RNAcentral
UACGUAGGGUGCGAGCGUUGUCCGGAAUUACUGGGCGUAAAGAGCUCGUAGGUGGUUUGUCGCGUUGUUCGUGAAAACUCACAGCUUAACUGUGGGCGUGCGGGCGAUACGGGGCAGACUGGAGUACUGCAGGGGAGACUGGAAUUCCUGGUGUAGCGGUGAAAUGCGCAGAUAUCAGGAGGAACACCGGUGGCGAAGGCGGGGUCUCUGGGCCGGAACUGACGCUGAGGAGCGAAAGCGUGGGGAGCGAACAGG